This 365-nucleotide RNase P RNA is filed under the name bacterium. RNAcentral's name for it is "RNase P RNA component class A". It matches the Rfam family "Bacterial RNase P class A". From Rfam's summary of the family: Ribonuclease P (RNase P) is a ubiquitous endoribonuclease, found in archaea, bacteria and eukarya as well as chloroplasts and mitochondria. The record is from RNAcentral.
UGAGCAGGACAGACGAUCGCGGGUGCCUUUAGGGUGCCUGAGGAAAGUCCGAGCUCCACGAGGCAGGGUGCUGGGUAACGCCCAGUGGAAGCGAUUCCAAGGAAAGUGCCACAGAAAAAAUACCGCCUAAGCCGCUCGCGCGGCCGGUAAGGGUGAAAAGGUGAGGUAAGAGCUCACCAGUACCGCCGGUGACGGUGGUAGCUUGGUAAACCCCACUCGGCGCAAGACCGAAUAGGAGAGAAGAAGACGCCUCGCUUCGCUUGACUCUCGGGUUGGUCGCACGAAAUGUCGGGCAACCGGCAUUCCAGAUAAAUGGUCGUCACCCCUCACGGGGAACAGAACUCGGCUUACGGCCUGCUCAUCGC